Molecule: ribosomal RNA, 1298 nt
Filed under: Parabacteroides distasonis
Lineage: Bacteria; Pseudomonadati; Bacteroidota; Bacteroidia; Bacteroidales; Tannerellaceae
Description: bacterial SSU rRNA
Source: RNAcentral
GGGCGAAGAUUAAGUAUCUGAUGGAACAUGUGGAUGGCGUACAUAACGCGAUCUUGUCCACCCAUUGCCAUAAUGACUUGGGCAUGGCUACCGCGAAUACCGUACAAGGCGUGUUGAACGGAGCCCGUCAGGUGGAGGUAACCAUAAACGGCAUCGGUGAGCGUGCGGGUAACACGUCAUUGGAAGAAGUUGCCAUGGUUUUCAAGAGCCAUAAAGAACGUGAUAUCAUCACCAAUAUCACGACGAAUAAGAUCUAUAGUACGAGCCGUAUGGUUUCUAGCUUGAUGAAUAUGCCGGUACAACCGAAUAAGGCUAUUGUCGGACGUAAUGCGUUCGCUCACUCCUCCGGUAUCCAUCAAGAUGGCGUUUUGAAGAAUGCGCAAACCUACGAGAUCAUCGAUCCGAAGGAUGUGGGUAUUGAUGAUAAUGCGAUCGUAUUGACUGCUCGUAGCGGUCGUGCGGCGUUGAAGCAUCGAAUGCAUAGAUWUCACGCAGAACCCCGAUUGCGAAGGCAGCCUGCCAAGCCAUUACUGACGCUGAUGCACGAAAGCGUGGGGAUCAAACAGGAUUAGAUACCCUGGUAGUCCACGCAGUAAACGAUGAUCACUAGCUGUUUGCGAUACACUGUAAGCGGCACAGCGAAAGCGUUAAGUGAUCCACCUGGGGAGUACGCCGGCAACGGUGAAACUCAAAGGAAUUGACGGGGGCCCGCACAAGCGGAGGAACAUGUGGUUUAAUUCGAUGAUACGCGAGGAACCUUACCCGGGUUUGAACGCAUUCGGACCGAGGUGGAAACACCUUUUCUAGCAAUAGCCGUUUGCGAGGUGCUGCAUGGUUGUCGUCAGCUCGUGCCGUGAGGUGUCGGCUUAAGUGCCAUAACGAGCGCAACCCUUGCCACUAGUUACUAACAGGUAAAGCUGAGGACUCUGGUGGGACUGCCAGCGUAAGCUGCGAGGAAGGCGGGGAUGACGUCAAAUCAGCACGGCCCUUACAUCCGGGGCGACACACGUGUUACAAUGGCGUGGACAAAGGGAAGCCACCUGGCGACAGGGAGCGAAUCCCCAAACCACGUCUCAGUUCGGAUCGGAGUCUGCAACCCGACUCCGUGAAGCUGGAUUCGCUAGUAAUCGCGCAUCAGCCAUGGCGCGGUGAAUACGUUCCCGGGCCUUGUACACACCGCCCGUCAAGCCAUGGGAGCCGGGGGUACCUGAAGUCCGUAACCGAAAGGAUCGGCCUAGGGUAAAACUGGUGACUGGGGCUAAGUCGUAACAAGGUAGCCGUACCGGAAGGUGCGGCUG